UACAGAGGGUGCGAGCGUUGUUCGGAAUCAUUGGGCGUAAAGGGCGUGUCGGCGGUUUGUUAAGUCAUGUGUGAAAUCCCUCGGCUCAACCGGGGAAGGACGCAUGAAACUGGCAAGCUAGAGUACCAAAGAGGGGGGUGGAAUUCCCGGUGUAGCGGUGAAAUGCGCAGAUAUCAGGAGGAACACCAAUGGCGAAGGCAGCUCACUGGGACGGUAUUGACGCUGAGACGCGAAAGCGUGGGGAGCAAACAGG
This 253-nucleotide ribosomal RNA is filed under the name uncultured bacterium. RNAcentral's name for it is "partial 16S ribosomal RNA". It matches the Rfam family "Bacterial small subunit ribosomal RNA", at positions 524 to 776 of the family's 1533-position model. The record is from RNAcentral.